AACUUGCAGCCCGACUUGAGCGGAAAUCCUUUUUUGCGUGUACUUACGUUCUACUGAACUGGAAACCGUCUGCAAAAAAGAUUGGGAGCGGAAGGCGGAAAUAGCU
Molecule: small RNA, 106 nt
Organism: Epilithonimonas sp.
Lineage: Bacteria; Pseudomonadati; Bacteroidota; Flavobacteriia; Flavobacteriales; Weeksellaceae
Rfam family: Flavo-1 RNA
Source: Rfam